Molecule: microRNA, 23 nt
Filed under: Callorhinchus milii (elephant shark)
Lineage: Eukaryota; Metazoa; Chordata; Chondrichthyes; Chimaeriformes; Callorhinchidae
Description: eshark_mir-205_1
Source: RNAcentral
UCCUUCAUUCCACCGGGUCCUGU